GUACCCUUAGUUCAGUUGGUUAGAACGCAAAACUGUUAAUUUUGAUGUCGCAGGUUCGAAUCCUGCAGGGUGCG
RNAcentral lists this transfer RNA (74 nucleotides) under Bacteriophage sp. RNAcentral describes it as "tRNA-Asn". It matches the Rfam family "tRNA". From Rfam's summary of the family: Transfer RNA (tRNA) molecules are approximately 80 nucleotides in length. The record is from RNAcentral. RNAcentral also lists the same sequence under 1 other name.